Molecule: ribosomal RNA, 681 nt
Filed under: Stenotrophomonas sp. EE4
Lineage: Bacteria; Pseudomonadati; Pseudomonadota; Gammaproteobacteria; Lysobacterales; Lysobacteraceae
Description: bacterial SSU rRNA
Rfam family: Bacterial small subunit ribosomal RNA
Source: RNAcentral
GGUAGGCCUAACACAUGCAAGUCGAACGGCAGCACAGGAGAGCUUGCUCUCUGGGUGGCGAGUGGCGGACGGGUGAGGAAUACAUCGGAAUCUACUUUUUCGUGGGGGAUAACGUAGGGAAACUUACGCUAAUACCGCAUACGACCUACGGGUGAAAGCAGGGGAUCUUCGGACCUUGCGCGAUUGAAUGAGCCGAUGUCGGAUUAGCUAGUUGGCGGGGUAAAGGCCCACCAAGGCGACGAUCCGUAGCUGGUCUGAGAGGAUGAUCAGCCACACUGGAACUGAGACACGGUCCAGACUCCUACGGGAGGCAGCAGUGGGGAAUAUUGGACAAUGGGCGCAAGCCUGAUCCAGCCAUACCGCGUGGGUGAAGAAGGCCUUCGGGUUGUAAAGCCCUUUUGUUGGGAAAGAAAUCCAGCUGGCUAAUACCCGGUUGGGAUGACGGUACCCAAAGAAUAAGCACCGGCUAACUUCGUGCCAGCAGCCGCGGUAAUACGAAGGGUGCAAGCGUUACUCGGAAUUACUGGGCGUAAAGCGUGCGUAGGUGGUCGUUUAAGUCCGUUGUGAAAGCCCUGGGCUCACCUGGGAACUGCAGUGGAUACUGGGCGACUAGAGUGUGGUAGAGGGUANCGGAAUUCCUGGUGUAGCAGUGAAAUGCGUAAAGAUCAGGAGGGACAUCCA